This 133-nucleotide small nuclear RNA is filed under the name Aglaophamus australiensis. RNAcentral describes it as "partial U2 small nuclear RNA". It matches the Rfam family "U2 spliceosomal RNA", at positions 25 to 156 of the family's 192-position model. Rfam says of the family: U2 is a small nuclear RNA (snRNA) component of the spliceosome (involved in pre-mRNA splicing). The record is from RNAcentral. Lineage: Eukaryota; Metazoa; Annelida; Polychaeta; Phyllodocida; Nephtyidae.
GAUCAAAGUGUAGUAUCUGUUCUUAUCAGCUUAAUAUCUGAUACGUCCUCCAUUGGGGGACUUCGAUAUUAAACUGAUUUUUGGAACUAGGCGAAGUGUCAGGAGCUUGCUCCGCCUUUGCCACGGGUUGGCC